Molecule: long non-coding RNA, 400 nt
Organism: Lolium rigidum
Lineage: Eukaryota; Viridiplantae; Streptophyta; Magnoliopsida; Poales; Poaceae
Exons: 2
Source: RefSeq, a predicted model, not a curated record
CUUACCUGCCUACCAGCUGCACUACCGCACACUACCGGACAACACUAUAAUCCUGCAGGAUGCAGCGCCCUACCCCUAGCCAGACAUGGCUGGUCAAGGCGCUGGUGAGGAGGAGCGUGAAGAGUAUCACCUUGUGGUUAGCAAGACCUUCAGAAGUGAGGAAGCCGGAUACGAGUUCUAUGAUGAGUAUGCAAAGGUCGAAUGGUUCAAUAUUAGGAAGCAGAGGUGAAGAAGGAUUCUUGAUCACUAAUUCGUCAUCACAGAUGUGUUAAGUGGAUUUAAACGCCACACAUGGACAUAGCUUGUACAAAUGUUUUCUUGCUGCUUUGAGUAGAAGCCGUAGCUAAUUUGCUGGAAAAAAAACUCAAUAUUGCAUGUUUAAUCAAGAUUGUUUAUUGCA